RNAcentral lists this transfer RNA (45 nucleotides) under uncultured Symbiodinium. Its description in RNAcentral is "partial Selenocysteine transfer RNA". Lineage: Eukaryota; Dinophyceae; Suessiales; Symbiodiniaceae. The record is from RNAcentral.
GCAGGGCGCGGGCUUCGCGAAAGUGGAGUGGUGCCGAGCUCAAGC